GUCUAUGGUGAUAUCACCUGAACCCUCCCAAUCUCAUCUGAUCUCGGAAGCUAAGCAGAGUCAGGCCUGGUUAGUACUUGGAUGGAAGAAUUUGUUAAAUAAAAUGUUGGCU
This 112-nucleotide ribosomal RNA is filed under the name Cavia porcellus (domestic guinea pig). Lineage: Eukaryota; Metazoa; Chordata; Mammalia; Rodentia; Caviidae. The record is from RNAcentral.